UACGAAGGGGGCUAGCGUUGCUCGGAAUCACUGGGCGUAAAGGGUGCGUAGGCGGGUUUUUAAGUCAUACGUGAAAUCCCUCGGCUUAACCGGGGAACUGCGUCUGAUACUGGAUGGCUUGAGUUCGGGAGAGGGAUGCGGAAUUCCAGGUGUAGCGGUGAAAUGCGUAGAUAUCUGGAGGAACACCGGUGGCGAAGGCGGCAUCCUGGACCGAUACUGACGCUGAGGAGCGAAAGCCAGGGGAGCAAACGGG
RNAcentral lists this ribosomal RNA (253 nucleotides) under uncultured bacterium. RNAcentral's name for it is "partial 16S ribosomal RNA". It matches the Rfam family "Bacterial small subunit ribosomal RNA", at positions 524 to 776 of the family's 1533-position model. The record is from RNAcentral.